GACAGAGGGUGCAAACGUUGCUCGGAAUCACUGGGCGUAAAGGGCGUGUAGGCGGGACAGUAAGUCGGGCGUGAAAUCCCUGGGCUCAACCCAGGAACUGCACUCGAAACUACUAUUCUUGAGUGUCGGAGAGGAAAGCGGAAUUCCUGGUGUAGAGGUGAAAUUCGUAGAUAUCAGGAGGAACACCAGUGGCGAAGGCGGCUUUCUG
Molecule: ribosomal RNA, 208 nt
Filed under: uncultured bacterium
Lineage: Bacteria
Description: partial 16S ribosomal RNA
Rfam family: Bacterial small subunit ribosomal RNA
Source: RNAcentral